Molecule: non-coding RNA, 115 nt
Organism: Triticum aestivum (bread wheat)
Lineage: Eukaryota; Viridiplantae; Streptophyta; Magnoliopsida; Poales; Poaceae
Source: Rfam
CACGAACUCCCUUCGUUCGAAAUUACUUGUCUCGGAAAUGGAUGUAUCUAGAACUAAAAUAUGUCUAGAUACAUCCAUUUUUAUGACGAGUAAUUUCGAACGGAGGAAGUACAAC